GGUCUGGGAUGGGCUCGCGGCCUAUCAGCUUGUUGGUGAGGUAAUGGCUCACCAAGGCGUCGACGGGUAGCCGGCCUGAGAGGGUGACCGGCCACACUGGGACUGAGACACGGCCCAGACUCCUACGGGAGGCAGCAGUGGGGAAUAUUGCACAAUGGGCGGAAGCCUGAUGCAGCAACGCCGCGUGAGGGAUGACGGCCUUCGGGUUGUAAACCUCUUUUAGCAGGGAAGAAGCGAGAGUGACGGUACCUGCAGAAAAAGCGCCGGCUAACUACGUGCCAGCAGCCGCGGUAAUACGUAGGGCGCAAGCGUUAUCCGGAAUUAUUGGGCGUAAAGAGCUCGUAGGCGGUUUGUCGCGUCUGCUGUGAAAUCCCGAGGCUCAACCUCGGGCCUGCAGUGGGUACGGGCAGACUAGAGUGCGGUAGGGGAGAUUGGAAUUCCUGGUGUAGCGGUGGAAUGCGCAGAUAUCAGGAGGAACACCGAUGGCGAAGGCAGAUCUCUGGGCCGUAACUGACGCUGAGGAGCGAAAGGGUGGGGAGCAAACAGGCUUAGAUACCCUGGUAGUCCACCCCGUAAACGUUGGGAACUAGUUGUGG
Molecule: ribosomal RNA, 596 nt
Filed under: Microbacterium sp.
Lineage: Bacteria; Bacillati; Actinomycetota; Actinomycetes; Micrococcales; Microbacteriaceae
Description: bacterial SSU rRNA
Rfam family: Bacterial small subunit ribosomal RNA
Source: RNAcentral